GCCCGGAUAGCUCAGUCGGUAGAGCAGGGGAUUGAAAAUCCCCGUGUCCUUGGUUCGAUUCCGAGUCCGGGCACCU
This 76-nucleotide transfer RNA is filed under the name Escherichia coli. RNAcentral's name for it is "tRNA-Phe". It matches the Rfam family "tRNA". Rfam says of the family: Transfer RNA (tRNA) molecules are approximately 80 nucleotides in length. Their secondary structure includes four short double-helical elements and three loops (D, anti-codon, and T loops). Further hydrogen bonds mediate the characteristic L-shaped molecular structure. tRNAs have two regions of fundamental functional importance: the anti-codon, which is responsible for specific mRNA codon recognition, and the 3' end, to which the tRNAs corresponding amino acid is attached (by aminoacyl-tRNA synthetases). tRNAs cope with the degeneracy of the genetic code in two manners: having more than one tRNA (with a specific anti-codon) for a particular amino acid; and 'wobble' base-pairing, i.e. permitting non-standard base-pairing at the 3rd anti-codon position. RNAcentral also lists the same sequence under 1 other name. The record is from RNAcentral. Lineage: Bacteria; Pseudomonadati; Pseudomonadota; Gammaproteobacteria; Enterobacterales; Enterobacteriaceae.